RNAcentral lists this long non-coding RNA (1114 nucleotides) under Carica papaya (papaya). RNAcentral's name for it is "long non-coding RNA (CPAP_LNC001581)". The record is from RNAcentral. Lineage: Eukaryota; Viridiplantae; Streptophyta; Magnoliopsida; Brassicales; Caricaceae.
GUGUCUCUCUCUAUAAGGUCAUAUACUCUUCCUUGAAUUCUUAGCCUAGUCUCCUCUUUAUUGAUAGGAUACUUUUUGAUCCGUUGUUGAGUACUACAAUAUCUAAAGUAUCCAUUUGUCUACUUGUAGCAAGGUCUAAUUCCAUGGUUCUUUCCACAAUGGGGCCAUAUCUAUCUGGCCCUUGUGCUAGGACUAUGAGACCUAUCUUUUGUCUUUUAUUAGGUUGUUGUGGCUCUUAAGCCUUCCUCUUAUUGUUUGGUAUGAAUGGUUAACCCGGUGGAUCUGUUGUAGGACUGAGCUUAUAACCUAUUAUGUAUCUGGCUUGUUCUAGUGCUUCUUAGUAGUAAUUAAACUUCAGAACUGAGAUUUUAUCCCAUAUCUCCUUACGCAGGCCUUUCUUAAACUUCCUGGCUUUUAAGCUUUUAUCUGCUGCUAAGUUGGGCACGAACCAAGCCAACUCUAUAAACUUUUAUGCAUAUUCUGCCACUCUCAAUUCCCUUUCUUUAACUCUAGAAACUUCAUUUGCUUUUGUUUUCAAACAAAGUUAGGGAAAUACUUCUUAUAGAAUGACUCUCCAAAUGCUUUCCGAGGAUAAGUGUCCUUAGGGAUCCCUUCUUCAGGUGGCACUAGUGUUCUGUACCUCCCUUGAACAUGAAUGUAACUAAUUAUACCUUUUGCUCUGAAGUGGGGCUUAGAACCUCAAACAUCUUCUCCAACUCUAUGAUCCACUGUUCAGCUAAUAUCGGGUCGGUUCCACCAGCAAAUGGUGGUGGGUUCAUCCUCUUAAAUCUUUCAAUGAGUUUUCCAUCAUUUUCCUCCAUCGGCUGGGUGUUACUGGUACCAUUAUUACUACUGUUAGUAACAGUUUGGCUAUGGGAUACAUGUUGACCUACCACCCAAACCAAGCCUUCGACUAUACGCUUGACUCUAUCUAGACUUUGUUCGAUCUGGUCUUUUGGAACCCGACUUGCCUGCUCUCUCAGUAUCCUUGCCAUUUUCUACAUUCAUGAAAUUCAAACUUAGAGGCAUUUCACUAUGUUUCACAACUCUAUCUAGGUCUCAUGUAACCCUAAACCUCGUAUUUAAGGGAUGUUCUAAAAUCGUGCUCUGAUAC